GACGAACGCUGGCGGCGUGCUUAACACAUGCAAGUCGAACGGAAAGGCCCUGCUUUUGUGGGGUGCUCGAGUGGCGAACGGGUGAGUAACACGUGAGUAACCUGCCCUUGACUUUGGGAUAACUUCAGGAAACUGGGGCUAAUACCGGAUAGGAGCUCCUGCUGCAUGGUGGGGGUUGGAAAGUUUCGGCGGUUGGGGAUGGACUCGCGGCUUAUCAGCUUGUUGGUGGGGUAGUGGCUUACCAAGGCUUUGACGGGUAGCCGGCCUGAGAGGGUGACCGGCCACAUUGGGACUGAGAUACGGCCCAGACUCCUACGGGAGGCAGCAGUGGGGAAUAUUGCACAAUGGGCGGAAGCCUGAUGCAGCAACGCCGCGUGCGGGAUGACGGCCUUCGGGUUGUAAACCGCUUUCGCCUGUGACGAAGCGUGAGUGACGGUAAUGGGUAAAGAAGCACCGGCUAACUACGUGCCAGCAGCCGCGGUGAUACGUAGGGUGCGAGCGUUGUCCGGAUUUAUUGGGCGUAAAGGGCUCGUAGGUGGUUGAUCGCGUCGGAAGUGUAAUCUUGGGGCUUAACCCUGAGCGUGCUUUCGAUACGGGUUGACUUGAGGAAGGUAGGGGAGAAUGGAAUUCCUGGUGGAGCGGUGGAAUGCGCAGAUAUCAGGAGGAACACCAGUGGCGAAGGCGGUUCUCUGGGCCUUUCCUGACGCUGAGGAGCGAAAGCGUGGGGAGCGAACAGGCUUAGAUACCCUGGUAGUCCACGCUGUAAACGGUGGGUACUAGGUGUGGGGUCCAUUCCACGGGUUCCGUGCCGUAGCUAACGCUUUAAGUACCCCGCCUGGGGAGUACGGCCGCAAGGCUAAAACUCAAAGGAAUUGACGGGGCCCCGCACAAGCGGCGGAGCAUGCGGAUUAAUUCGAUGCAACGCGUAAAACCUUACCUGGGUUUGACAUGGAUCGGGAGUGCUCAGAGAUGGGUGUGCCUUUUUUGGGGUCGGUUCACAGGUGGUGCAUGCCUGUCGUCAGCUCGUGUCGUGAGAUGUUGGGUUAAGUCCCGCAACGAGCGCAACCCUUGUUCACUGUUGCCAGCACGUUAUGGUGGGGACUCAGUGGAGACCGCCGGGGUCAACUCGGAGGAAGGUGGGGAUGACGUCAAGUCAUCAUGCCCCUUAUGUCCAGGGCUUCACGCAUGCUACAAUGGCUGGUACAGAGAGUGGCGAGCCUGUGAGGGUGAGCGAAUCUCGGAAAGCCGGUCUCAGUUCGGAUUGGGGUCUGCAACUCGACCUCAUGAAGUCGGAGUCGCUAGUAAUCGAAGAUCAGCAACGCUGCGGUGAAUACGUUCCCGGGGCU
RNAcentral lists this ribosomal RNA (1346 nucleotides) under uncultured bacterium. Its description in RNAcentral is "partial 16S ribosomal RNA". It matches the Rfam family "Bacterial small subunit ribosomal RNA", at positions 28 to 1381 of the family's 1533-position model. The record is from RNAcentral.